CCUAAGAGUGCCAAUGUGAGUUGGAGAGGGCUUGGUGUGAGCCCAAGGGGGCGGAGGCAUGGUGAGGAUCGUGUGCGGUGUUCGAUGUCAGCGCCGUGCCAUUUUGAGCUACAAGUGGAAUCUAAGGAUUCCGGUUUAGAGAGGUGAUAUUGAUGGUACCUUAUGUAUGCUUACCGAAUUUGGGGUCAUUUGGAGUACGUUUGGAUAGGGGCUUGACUUGGCCAAAGUUCAGUGGCAUUGUCGUAAUUUUCUGAUUGGUCCGAAGGCCAUAACUCAUUCCAUGUGUAUGGGAAUGGGAUGAAACUUCAUGGAGGUGUGAAGGAAGUCAAGAGAAAGGAG
RNAcentral lists this long non-coding RNA (339 nucleotides) under Capsicum annuum. RNAcentral describes it as "long non-coding RNA (CANN_LNC001561)". Lineage: Eukaryota; Viridiplantae; Streptophyta; Magnoliopsida; Solanales; Solanaceae. The record is from RNAcentral.